UACGGAAGGGGCUAGCGUUGUUCGGAUUUACUGGGCGUAAAGCGCGCGUAGGCGGCCGUGCGAGUGAGGCGUGAAAGCCCCGGGCUCAACCUGGGAACCGCGCUUCAGACUGCACGGCUCGAGUCCGGGAGAGGGUGGUGGAAUUCCCAGUGUAGAGGUGAAAUUCGUAGAUAUUGGGAAGAACACCGGUGGCGAAGGCGGCCACCUGGCCCGGUACUGACGCUAGAGCGCGAAAGCGUGGGGAGCAAACAGG
RNAcentral lists this ribosomal RNA (253 nucleotides) under uncultured bacterium. Its description in RNAcentral is "partial 16S ribosomal RNA". It matches the Rfam family "Bacterial small subunit ribosomal RNA", at positions 524 to 776 of the family's 1533-position model. The record is from RNAcentral.